UCAAAUUUCUAAGAGCAAACGGUGGAUGCCUUGGCAUCUGGAGCCGAAGAAGGACGUAGCAAUCUGCGAUAAGCCUCGGGGAGCUGAUAAGCGAGCUUUGAUCCGAGGAUGUCCGAAUGGGGAAACCCCGCUGGGAGCUUCGUGCUACCCAGUGACUCCCGCCUGAAUAUAUAGGGCGGGUAGAGGGAACGUGGGGAAGUGAAACAUCUCAGUACCCACAGGAAGAGAAAACAACAGUGAUUCCGGUAGUAGUGGCGAGCGAAACCGGAACAGGCCAAACCGAUCAUGUGUGAUAGCCGGCAGGCGUUGCAUGGUCGGGGUUGUGGGACUCUUACGGUUUUCUGCCGAAAACCACGUAGAUAGUUGUUGUAUAGACAAAUGGUCUUGAAAGGCCAGCCGCAGAGGGUGCCAGCCCCGUAGUUGAAAUGCAGCACUAAUGCGAAGAGGAUCCCAAGUAUCACGGGGCCCGAGAAAUCCCGUGUGAAUCUGCCAGGACCACCUGGUAAGCCUAAAUACUCCCAGAUGACCGAUAGCGGACAAGUACCGUGAGGGAAAGGUGAAAAGUACCCCGGGAGGGGAGUGAAAUAGAACCUGAAACCGUUUGCUUACAAUCCGUUGGAGCCUCCUUGUAGGGGUGACAGCGUGCCUUUUGAAGAAUGAGCCUGCGAGUUAGCGAUAUGUGGCGAGGUUAACCCGUGAGGGGUAGCCGUAGCGAAAGCGAGUCUGAAUAGGGCGAUUCAGUCGCAUGUCCUAGACCCGAAGCGAAGUGAUCUAUCCAUGGCCAGGUUGAAGCGACGGUAAGACGUCGUGGAGGACCGAACCCACUUGGGUUGAAAACCGAGGGGAUGAGCUGUGGAUAGGGGUGAAAGGCCAAUCAAACUUCGUGAUAGCUGGUUCUCUCCGAAAUGCAUUUAGGUGCAGCGUUGCGUGUUUCUUGCCGGAGGUAGAGCUACUGGAUGGCCGAUGGGCCCUAAAAGGUUACUGACGUCAGCCAAACUCCGAAUGCCGGUAAGUAAGAGCGCAGCAGUGAGACGGUGGGGGAUAAGCUUCAUCGUCGAGAGGGAAACAACCCAGACUACCGACUAAGGUCCCAAAGCGUGUGCUAAGUGGAAAAGGAUGUGGAGUUGCAUAGACAACCAGGAGGUUGGCUUAGAAGCAGCCACCCUUGAAAGAGUGCGUAAUAGCUCACUGGUCAAGUGAUUCCGCGCCGACAAUGUAACGGGGCUCAAGCACACCACCGAAGUCGUAGCAUUCAAACUAUAGGUAGGCCUUCGUGGUCCAGCCGUGUGAAUGGGUAGGAGAGCGUCGUGUGGCGAGCGAAGCGGCGGAGUGAUCCAGCCGUGGACGCCACACGAGUGAGAAUGCAGGCAUGAGUAGCGAAAGACGGGUGAGAAACCCGUCCUCCGGAAGACCAAGGGUUCCAGGGCCAGGCUAAUCCGCCCUGGGUAAGUCGGGACCUAAGACGAGGCCGACAGGCGUAGUCGAUGGACAACGGGUUGAUAUUCCCGUACCCGCGAAGAACCGCAAGAGCUAAACCAGUAAUGCUAAGAGUCCGAAUUCUCUUUCUGAUCCCUUCGGGGUGAGGAUUGAGAGCUAGCACUCGACCCUAUGCUGGCGCGGCUAGCGUAUUAACAGGUGUGACGCAGGAAGGUAGCUGAGCCGGGCGAUGGUUGUCCCGGUGUAAGGAUGUAGGGCGAGGAAUAGGCAAAUCCGUUCCUCACGAAGCCUGAGAUCCGACGCGUACCCCUCACGGGGGAAAUCAGUGAUCCUAUGCUGCCAAGAAAAGCAUCGACGCGAGGUUCUAGUGGCCCGUACCCCAAACCGACUCAGGUGGUCAGGUAGAGAAUACUAAGGAGAUCGAGAGAAUCGUGGUUAAGGAACUCGGCAAAAUGCCCCCGUAACUUCGGGAGAAGGGGGGCCGGAUUGGUGAAGGGAUUUACUCCUGGAGCUAUGAAGGCCGCAGAGACCAGUGGGAAGCGACUGUUUACUAAAAACACAGGUCCGUGCUAAGUCGCAAGACGAUGUAUACGGACUGACGCCUGCCCGGUGCUGGAAGGUUAAGAGGAGCGGUUAGCACUUGUGCAAAGCUGCGAAUUUAAGCCCCAGUAAACGGCGGUGGUAACUAUAACCAUCCUAAGGUAGCGAAAUUCCUUGUCGGGUAAGUUCCGACCUGCACGAAUGGCGUA
This 2186-nucleotide ribosomal RNA is filed under the name seawater metagenome. RNAcentral describes it as "bacterial LSU rRNA". It matches the Rfam family "Bacterial large subunit ribosomal RNA", at positions 1 to 2003 of the family's 2925-position model. The record is from RNAcentral.